ACUCCUACGGGAGGCAGCAGUGGGGAAUAUUGGACAAUGGGCGCAAGCCUGAUCCAGCAAUGCCGCGUGGGUGAAGACGGCCUGCGGGUUGUAAAGCCCUUUAGGCGGGGAAGAACGGCCGGGCGCGAAUAGCGCGCGGCUCUGACGUUACCCGCAGAAUAAGCACCGGCUAACUCCGUGCCAGCAGCCGCGGUAAU
This 197-nucleotide ribosomal RNA is filed under the name uncultured Gammaproteobacteria bacterium. Its description in RNAcentral is "partial 16S ribosomal RNA". It matches the Rfam family "Bacterial small subunit ribosomal RNA", at positions 335 to 524 of the family's 1533-position model. Lineage: Bacteria; Pseudomonadati; Pseudomonadota; Gammaproteobacteria. The record is from RNAcentral.